This 125-nucleotide transfer RNA is filed under the name Calothrix sp. PCC 6303. RNAcentral describes it as "tRNA-Und (NNN) (tRNA-Und-NNN-4-1)". It matches the Rfam family "tRNA". From Rfam's summary of the family: Transfer RNA (tRNA) molecules are approximately 80 nucleotides in length. Their secondary structure includes four short double-helical elements and three loops (D, anti-codon, and T loops). The record is from RNAcentral. Lineage: Bacteria; Bacillati; Cyanobacteriota; Cyanophyceae; Nostocales; Calotrichaceae.
UGGCAGGUAGCUCAGUAGUAGAGCGCUAAACCCCUUGGUUAAAUCCUUGUCUGCAAAGACCGAAAAAUUGAGGGUUAUCGAAAUUCCAACUCGAGAGGUCGCGGGUGCAAAUCCCGUCCUGCCAC